This 301-nucleotide long non-coding RNA is filed under the name Homo sapiens (human). RNAcentral's name for it is "HSALNT0217966". Lineage: Eukaryota; Metazoa; Chordata; Mammalia; Primates; Hominidae. The record is from RNAcentral.
UAAACAGAAUGUGUCAUGGAAAUACUGAAAGAUUCUCUUUACAAUAAUUCAUAAACUGGUAAAAUUCAUUCUAAGAAAACUUGGCAAAUAAAACUUUGGACUGGAAUUGGCAUUUCUUUCUCUGCUUUUCGUUCCCACCAUUUCUUUCUUUUAUACUACAGUAUUCAUAUUUUAAAAUGUUUUAAAUUAUUUCAGAACAUUAAGAUAGCAGUUACAUUUUUUAAUAGUUAUUUUAAAAUGACUCUUUAAAAUAAAGUUUUAGAGAAACUAUAUUAUGGAUAGGGCUGAUUUACAUUUUCAA